This 301-nucleotide ribosomal RNA is filed under the name uncultured bacterium. RNAcentral describes it as "partial 16S ribosomal RNA". It matches the Rfam family "Bacterial small subunit ribosomal RNA", at positions 509 to 807 of the family's 1533-position model. The record is from RNAcentral.
CAGUCGCCACGGUAAUACAGAGGGUGCGAGCGUUAAUCGGAUUUACUGGGCGUAAAGCGUGCGUAGGCGGCUUCUUAAGUCGGAUGUGAAAUCCCUGAGCUUAACUUAGGAAUUGCAUUCGAUACUGGGAAGCUAGAGUAUGGGAGAGGAUGGUAGAAUUCCAGGUGUAGCGGUGAAAUGCGUAGAGAUCUGGAGGAAUACCGAUGGCGAAGGCAGCCAUCUGGCCUAAUACUGACGCUGAGGUACGAAAGCAUGGGGAGCAAACAGGAUUAGAUACCCCGGUAGUCCCUGUCUCUUAUAC